AACACUUUGACAACACACCCUCUCUCCUGACCUCUCCUCUACGGACCUUUUCCGAACGAAUCUUCCCAUCUAAGCUGCUGCUCCUCUCUCCAUCCGCUCUCCUCCGCCGCAAGCCUUGCGCCCCCGCCACCGCAUCACAUCACUCUCUAGUCGGAGGCUGCAGCCGUAGACGAGGCGGCGCGGGAGCUGCGGGAGGCGGCCGCCACCCUCGUCGCCCCACAUGCCGCGGAAGACGGCAGGGGUCGCCUCCGCACCGUGGUGCUCGACGCCGACGUCCGCGCCUACAAGGGCCGCUCCCUACCCUCGGCUCGUUCACGGUCGACGAGGUCAUCCACGCAUGUUCUUCCGGAUUGACACCUUGCACCAUUUAAGCUCUAUCCUUGUGAUGUGUUUCUUUGCAGUGGGCAUCAGCUAAAUCUGUCAUUUGUACUUCUGUAGAUUGAGGAGGAAUUGAUGCGUGCCAGGUUAGGCAUUACAGAUAGUGAUGGGGCUUCGUUCUCCCUCAGAUCACAAUACUGUCUGUUUCAGUUUUUUUUUUUUGUACCUCUGUAGUGAUAACUUAUGGAUUCUAAUGAUUGUGCAAACUAGCUUAAAAUCUUAAUUUUCUGAGCAUUAUGAUAGAGAGUCAUACACAAUGCCACCUUUAAUAUGGAACUGGUUACAAAAUUUUGAGAGCAAGUGAAAUCAUCUGGGCAAACAUGGCAAAUUCAGAAAGCGUUCCCGUGAAACAUAUAGCCUGUUUUCUAUGAUACAUUUAUGUUUUGUAAACCGGUAAUUACUACGAAAGCACAUUUUUUUCCUUGGUGCUUGUUCGUCAGAUAUGUUUGCUAAGCAAAUGUGUUGCUUCAUCCUGUGUGUUCUCUGUAUAUGAACAUACUAUAUGCUUUUCAUAUAUAUGGAGCUGCAAACUUACAAUGCUUUCCAUGUCUUUUCAGUUCUAGAAUGGAGUGAAUUAAGGUGGCAGCGGCAAGUGAGAGCACUAACAAGUUGAAUCAUAGCUAACUAACUACUUUAGGUUCAGUGGAGGAGAUCAUUGAUGCAUAUUCUUUUGAAUAUCAGGUUAAGGAAGCACACUGCAGCUCCAUAGUGCCAUGAAGAAACAGAUCACUGCUGGUUACUUUCAUCCUGGUUUUACUAAAGCAAGUUGCUACUGCAAAUUUUCCAGUACCAUGAGAUGGUUUUAUACGGUCAAGUCAAGAAGCAUAAUCGGAUGUGCUGGCCAAGCAUCUAAGUACUAACAUAUAUUCUAGAUCUGUCAUAUAUACUCGUGAAACUCAAACCAAGCAGCACACUGAAGCUGUACAUUGCCAAUGAAGAGAGGUGAAACUACAAUUGACAGGUGCAUGAGUGUAAAAUUUUCCUUGGUACUGCAUGAAGCAAAGCUCUAACAUCUUCAUCCUUUUUAUCGAAAGGAUAUAUACACAAUUCAUGACUCGCGUAGAUUCUGGUUGAACAACUCUAACUAUUUGUUGAAUUAUCAUGUGACCAUUAAUUAUAGUACCGUGAACUCUAAAUAUGAUGGCUUCAAUCUUUCAUACAA
Molecule: long non-coding RNA, 1540 nt
Organism: Setaria italica (foxtail millet)
Lineage: Eukaryota; Viridiplantae; Streptophyta; Magnoliopsida; Poales; Poaceae
Exons: 2
Source: RefSeq, a predicted model, not a curated record